RNAcentral lists this ribosomal RNA (579 nucleotides) under uncultured bacterium. Its description in RNAcentral is "bacterial SSU rRNA". It matches the Rfam family "Bacterial small subunit ribosomal RNA", at positions 338 to 916 of the family's 1533-position model. The record is from RNAcentral.
CCUACGGGAGGCAGCAGUAAGGAAUAUUGGUCAAUGGAGGCAACUCUGAACCAGCCAUGCCGCGUGCAGGAAGACAGCCCUAUGGGUCGUAAACUGCUUUUAUACGGGAAUAAACUUUGAUUCGUGAAUCAAGCUGAAUGUACCGUAAGAAUAAGGAUCGGCUAACUCCGUGCCAGCAGCCGCGGUAAUACGGAGGAUCCAAGCGUUAUCCGGAUUUAUUGGGUUUAAAGGGAGCGUAGGCGGCCUAUUAAGUCAGGGGUGAAAGACGGUGGCUCAACCAUCGCAGUGCCUUUGAUACUGAUGGGCUUGAAUAUAGUUGAGGUAGGCGGAAUGUGACAAGUAGCGGUGAAAUGCAUAGAUAUGUCACAGAACACCGAUUGCGAAGGCAGCUUACUAAGCUAUGAUUGACGCUGAGGCUCGAAAGCGUGGGGAUCAAACAGGAUUAGAUACCCUGGUAGUCCACGCCCUAAACGAUGAUAACUCGAUGUUGGCGAUAUACAGUCAGCGUCCAAGCGAAAGCGUUAAGUUAUCCACCUGGGGAGUACGCCCGCAAGGGUGAAACGUCAAAGGAAUUGACGG